Lycium barbarum (goji berry) is the source of this 1129-nucleotide long non-coding RNA. RefSeq lists it as uncharacterized. The record is from RefSeq and is a predicted model, not a curated record. The transcript has 2 exons. Lineage: Eukaryota; Viridiplantae; Streptophyta; Magnoliopsida; Solanales; Solanaceae.
ACCUUCUCUCCUCUCUCUCUUCUUUCCUACGCUCUCUCCCACUCCCUUCACCAUUUUUGGUAAUAAUACAGCUCCCUUUUACCUUAUACAGUCUUGUCUUUCCAUUUCUAUGCAAAAGUUGUCCUCAUGUCUACUCACCCGCGUUGGUCCUGUCGUUGAAUGGCAGAAGGUUCAUUUUCUCGCUUCAAACACAACAAAUCCUUAAAGACCAGAGAAGAUCAGCCCAUUUCGGGUACAAAUCUGCUAUAAAUCACGUGAAUGGUCCCUAACGUUCAAAUAUUGUGACAGAGAUUCGGCUUUCUGUCAUGAUUUGGACUGACCUUGAAAUGGGUUUUGAAAUAAUCGGAGAUGGUGACCUAUCCUCACUCUAUAAAUGGGAUUUUUUUUUUGGGAGAAAAGGGAGGGGAUACUCUCUGUUUUUUUUAAGUCUUUGGUUCAAUUCAUAAAAAAAAAAAAAAGAACAUUGAUUGGGGGAAAACCGGAUUACUUACCACAUUCAACAUUUUCUAUUUUCGACUCCUACUCUAAAUCUUAGAUUUGUUCAAAUCCCGUUCUGUUUCGGGUUUAGUCACUACCUGCGUUUGAGAUUAUUCGAAAAUCAAGCCAAAUUGUUUUUUUAGAAAAGGAUAUACUGUUUCGGCUGAUAUCGAAAUUUUCAAUUCGAAAGACUUUUUUUCGAGUUCGAAUUCGUCGGGUUCGAGCAUAGAUUUGAGAUUCCCGCACUCAGUUCACUGCGCCCGAAGAAGAGUCCGAGGGACUCGUCUUCUUCCGCAUUCGGUGUUGGGCUAAAAGCCCAACAUAAUAUCCUCGGGUCAUCUUCCCUUAGUCCCAUCCUCAGCGGAAUCUAUUAAAUUUCGCUGGGCCGAAGUCCAUCAGCAGUGGACAACAGCAGUCCUAAAAUGGCUGAGCCCAUUUAAAUCAUAUUUACACUUCUAAUUUAUUUCUUGUGCCUUUAAUUUGUAUUGUGCAACUAGUACUUCACUUUGAUUUUUUGUUUUAGCUAGAAUAAACCUUAGCGGAAUUAGUGGGUUAGUUUAGUAUGAUGGGAGUUAGUUUAAAAGAGAAACUAACAAUUAUUCCUAUAGGUUUCAUCCUUUUUUAUGAUAAAUUAUUUAUAGCAUCUAAAAUA